This 328-nucleotide unclassified non-coding RNA is filed under the name soil metagenome. Its description in RNAcentral is "partial contains 5.8S ribosomal RNA, internal transcribed spacer 2, and large subunit ribosomal RNA". The stretch from base 1 to 120 matches the Rfam family "5.8S ribosomal RNA", at positions 35 to 154 of the family's 154-position model. The record is from RNAcentral.
GAUGAAGAACGUAGUGAAAUGCGAUAAGUAAUGUGAAUUGCAGAAUUCAGUGAAUCAUCGAAUCUUUGAACGCACAUUGCGCCCUCUGGUAUUCCGGGGGGCAUGCCUGUUCGAGCGUCAUUAUAACCACUCAAGCUCUCGCUUGGUAUUGGGGUUCGCGGUUUCGCGGCCCCUAAAAUCAGUGGCGGUGCCUGUCGGCUCUACGCGUAGUAAUACUUCUCGCGAUUGAGUUCGAUAGGUCUACUUGCCAGUAACCCCCAAUUUUUACAGGUUGACCUCGGAUCAGGUAGGGAUACCCGCUGAACUUAAGCAUAUCAUAAGCGGAGGA